RNAcentral lists this ribosomal RNA (1558 nucleotides) under Escherichia coli. Its description in RNAcentral is "bacterial LSU rRNA". It matches the Rfam family "Bacterial large subunit ribosomal RNA", at positions 1271 to 2812 of the family's 2925-position model. Lineage: Bacteria; Pseudomonadati; Pseudomonadota; Gammaproteobacteria; Enterobacterales; Enterobacteriaceae. The record is from RNAcentral.
UGCUGGAGGUAUCAGAAGUGCGAAUGCUGACAUAAGUAACGAUAAAGCGGGUGAAAAGCCCGCUCGCCGGAAGACCAAGGGUUCCUGUCCAACGUUAAUCGGGGCAGGGUGAGUCGACCCCUAAGGCGAGGCCGAAAGGCGUAGUCGAUGGGAAACAGGUUAAUAUUCCUGUACUUGGUGUUACUGCGAAGGGGGGACGGAGAAGGCUAUGUUGGCCGGGCGACGGUUGUCCCGGUUUAAGCGUGUAGGCUGGUUUUCCAGGCAAAUCCGGAAAAUCAAGGCUGAGGCGUGAUGACGAGGCACUACGGUGCUGAAGCAACAAAUGCCCUGCUUCCAGGAAAAGCCUCUAAGCAUCAGGUAACAUCAAAUCGUACCCCAAACCGACACAGGUGGUCAGGUAGAGAAUACCAAGGCGCUUGAGAGAACUCGGGUGAAGGAACUAGGCAAAAUGGUGCCGUAACUUCGGGAGAAGGCACGCUGAUAUGUAGGUGAAGCGACUUGCUCGUGGAGCUGAAAUCAGUCGAAGAUACCAGCUGGCUGCAACUGUUUAUUAAAAACACAGCACUGUGCAAACACGAAAGUGGACGUAUACGGUGUGACGCCUGCCCGGUGCCGGAAGGUUAAUUGAUGGGGUUAGCGGUAACGCGAAGCUCUUGAUCGAAGCCCCGGUAAACGGCGGCCGUAACUAUAACGGUCCUAAGGUAGCGAAAUUCCUUGUCGGGUAAGUUCCGACCUGCACGAAUGGCGUAAUGAUGGCCAGGCUGUCUCCGCCCGAGACUCAGUGAAAUUGAACUCGCUGUGAAGAUGCAGUGUACCCGCGGCAAGACGGAAAGACCCCGUGAACCUUUACUAUAGCUUGACACUGAACAUUGAGCCUUGAUGUGUAGGAUAGGUGGGAGGCUUUGAAGUGUGGACGCCAGUCUGCAUGGAGCCGACCUUGAAAUACCACCCUUUAAUGUUUGAUGUUCUAACGUUGGCCCGUAAUCCGGGUUGCGGACAGUGUCUGGUGGGUAGUUUGACUGGGGCGGUCUCCUCCUAAAGAGUAACGGAGGAGCACGAAGGUUGGCUAAUCCUGGUCGGACAUCAGGAGGUUAGUGCAAUGGCAUAAGCCAGCUUGACUGCGAGCGUGACGGCGCGAGCAGGUGCGAAAGCAGGUCAUAGUGAUCCGGUGGUUCUGAAUGGAAGGGCCAUCGCUCAACGGAUAAAAGGUACUCCGGGGAUAACAGGCUGAUACCGCCCAAGAGUUCAUAUCGACGGCGGUGUUUGGCACCUCGAUGUCGGCUCAUCACAUCCUGGGGCUGAAGUAGGUCCCAAGGGUAUGGCUGUUCGCCAUUUAAAGUGGUACGCGAGCUGGGUUUAGAACGUCGUGAGACAGUUCGGUCCCUAUCUGCCGUGGGCGCUGGAGAACUGAGGGGGGCUGCUCCUAGUACGAGAGGACCGGAGUGGACGCAUCACUGGUGUUCGGGUUGUCAUGCCAAUGGCACUGCCCGGUAGCUAAAUGCGGAAGAGAUAAGUGCUGAAAGCAUCUAAGCACGAAACUUGCCCCGAGAUGAGUUCU